UCCCCUCUCCGGACCAUCACUUCUGAACGUUAAUCAAGGCUCUGAAACGCAGAUCUUACUGCAUUUGAGCUCAGAUUAUUAAAAAUAAAUUAGUCAGAAGACAGGAGAAACCUGGCCCAUCUCUCAUUUAUUAUCCAACAAGAGCAACCAUAAUUUCCUGCUUUUUAUCCUAUAGAAUGUGAGUCCAUGUAAGAGUUUUAAUAGUGAAUAGUGUUUUAACUGAUUUCAUGAUCACGAGUAUCGUCCAAGUUGAUUUCAUUAUCAUGAUUACUGUCCAAGUUUUCAUUUC
RNAcentral lists this long non-coding RNA (289 nucleotides) under Elaeis guineensis (African oil palm). RNAcentral's name for it is "long non-coding RNA (EGUI_LNC005247)". Lineage: Eukaryota; Viridiplantae; Streptophyta; Magnoliopsida; Arecales; Arecaceae. The record is from RNAcentral.